RNAcentral lists this ribosomal RNA (370 nucleotides) under uncultured bacterium. RNAcentral describes it as "bacterial SSU rRNA". It matches the Rfam family "Bacterial small subunit ribosomal RNA", at positions 527 to 896 of the family's 1533-position model. The record is from RNAcentral.
AGAGGGUGCGAGCGUUAAUCGGAAUUACUGGGCGUAAAGGGCGCGUAGGCGGCAUUACAAGUCAGAUGUGAAAGCCCCGGGCUUAACCUGGGAAUUGCAUCUGAUACUGUAUAGCUUGAGUUCUGGAGGGGGUAGUGGAAUUUCCGGUGUAGCGGUGAAAUGCGCAGAUAUCAGGAGGAACACCGAUGGCGAAGGCAGAUCUCUGGGCCGUAACUGACGCUGAGGAGCGAAGGCCAGGGGAGCGAAAGGGAUUAGAUACCCCUGUAGUCCUGGCAGUAAACGGUGCACGUUUGGUGUGGGCGGUUUCGACCCCGUCCGUGCCGGAGCUAACGCGUUAAGCGAGCCGCCUGGGGAGUCGGCCGCAAGGCUA